GGAAUCUUGCGCAAUGGGCGAAAGCCUGACGCAGCCAUGCCGCGUGAAUGAUGAAGGUCUUAGGAUUGUAAAAUUCUUUCACCGGGGAAGAUAAUGACGGUACCCGUAGAAGAAGCCCCGGCUAACUUCGUGCCAGCAGCCGCGGUAAUACGAAGGGGGCUAGCGUUGCUCGGAAUUACUGGGCGUAAAGGGCGCGUAGGCGGACAUUUAAGUUAGAGGUGAAAGCCCAGGGCUCAACCCUGGAAUAGCCUUUAAUACUGGAUGUCUUGAGUUCGGGAGAGGUGAGUGGAAUGCCGAGUGUAGAGGUGAAAUUCGUAGAUAUUCGGCGGAACACCAGUGGCGAAGGCGACUCACUGGCCCGAUACUGACGCUGAGGCGCGAAAGCGUGGGGAGCAAACAG
Molecule: ribosomal RNA, 400 nt
Filed under: Sphingomonas sp. sph1
Lineage: Bacteria; Pseudomonadati; Pseudomonadota; Alphaproteobacteria; Sphingomonadales; Sphingomonadaceae
Description: bacterial SSU rRNA
Rfam family: Bacterial small subunit ribosomal RNA
Source: RNAcentral